GACGAACGCUGGCGGCGUGCUUAACACAUGCAAGUCGAACGGAAAGGCCCUGCUUUUGUGGGGUGCUCGAGUGGCGAACGGGUGAGUAACACGUGAGUAACCUGCCCUUGACUUUGGGAUAACUUCAGGAAACUGGGGCUAAUACCGGAUAGGAGCUCCUGCUGCACGGUGGGGGUUGGAAAGUUUCGGCGGUUGGGGAUGGACUCGCGGCUUAUCAGCUUGUUGGUGGGGUAGUGGCUUACCAAGGCUUUGACGGGUAGCCGGCCUGAGAGGGUGACCGGCCACAUUGGGACUGAGAGACGGCCCAGACUCCUACGGGAGGCAGCAGUGGGGAAUAUUGCGCAAUGGGCGGAAGCCUGAUGCAGCAACGCCGCGUGCGGGAUGACGGCCUUCGGGUUGUAAACCGCUUUCGCCUGUGACGAAGCGUGAGUGACGGUAAUGGGUAAAGAAGCACCGGCUAACUACGUG
RNAcentral lists this ribosomal RNA (468 nucleotides) under uncultured bacterium. Its description in RNAcentral is "partial 16S ribosomal RNA". It matches the Rfam family "Bacterial small subunit ribosomal RNA", at positions 28 to 507 of the family's 1533-position model. The record is from RNAcentral.